Molecule: ribosomal RNA, 460 nt
Filed under: uncultured bacterium
Lineage: Bacteria
Description: partial 16S ribosomal RNA
Rfam family: Bacterial small subunit ribosomal RNA
Source: RNAcentral
CCUACGGGUGGCAGCAGUGAGGAAUAUUGGUCAAUGGACGAGAGUCUGAACCAGCCAAGUAGCGUGAAGGAUGACUGCCCUAUGGGUUGUAAACUUCUUUUAUAUGGGAAUAAAAUGUUCCACGUGUGGGAUUUUGUAUGUACCAUAUGAAUAAGGAUCGGCUAACUCCGUGCCAGCAGCCGAGGUAAUACGGAGGAUCCGAGCGUUCUCCGGAUUUAUUGGGUUUAAAGGGAGCGUAGGUGGAUUGUUAAGUCAGUUGUGAAAGUUUGCGGCUCAACCGUAAAAUUGCAGUUGAAUCUGGCAGUCUUGAGUACAGUAGAGGUGGGCGGAAUUCGUGGUGUAGCGGUGAAAUGCUUAGAUAUCACGAAGAACUCCGAUUGCGAAGGCAGUUCACUGGACUGCAACUGACACUGAGGCUCGAAAGUGUGGGUAUCAAACAGGAUUAGAUACCCGUGUAGUC